GUGGGGAAUAUUGGGCAAUGGGCGCAAGCCUGACCCAGCAACGCCGCGUGAAGGAAGAAGGCUUUCGGGUUGUAAACUUCUUUUACCAGGGACGAAACAAAUGACGGUACCUGGUGAAUAAGCCACGGCUAACUACGUGCCAGCAGCCGCGGUAAUACGUAGGUGGCGAGCGUUAUCCGGAUUUAUUGGGUGUAAAGGGCGUGUAGGCGGGACAGCAAGUCAGAUGUGAAAACCAGAGGCUCAACCUCUGGCCUGCAUUUGAAACUGUUGUUCUUGAGUGUCGGAGAGGGAAUCGGAAUUCCGUGUGUAGCGGUGAAAUGCGUAGAUAUACGGAGGAACACCAGUGGCGAAGGCGGAUUACUGGACGAUAACUGACGCUGAGGCGCGAAGGCGUGGGGAGCAAACAGGAUUAGAUACCCCGGUAGUCC
RNAcentral lists this ribosomal RNA (428 nucleotides) under uncultured bacterium. RNAcentral describes it as "partial 16S ribosomal RNA". It matches the Rfam family "Bacterial small subunit ribosomal RNA", at positions 354 to 796 of the family's 1533-position model. The record is from RNAcentral.